CCUACGGGAGGCUGCAGUGAGGAAUAUUGGUCAAUGGGCGCGAGCCUGAACCAGCCAAGUAGCGUGAAGGAUGACUGCCCUACGGGUUGUAAACUUCUUUUAUAAAGGAAUAAAGUGAGGCACGUGUGCCGUUUUGUAUGUACUUUAUGAAUAAGGAUCGGCUAACUCCGUGCCAGCAGCCGCGGUAAUACGGAGGAUCCGAGCGUUAUCCGGAUUUAGUGGGUUUAAAGGGAUCGUAGAUGGGUUGUUAAGUCAGUUGUGAAAGUUUGCGGCUCAACCGUAAAAUUGCACUUGCUACUGGCAGUCUUGUGUACAGUUGAGGUAGGCGGCAUUCGUUGUGUAGCGGU
This 347-nucleotide ribosomal RNA is filed under the name uncultured bacterium. RNAcentral's name for it is "partial 16S ribosomal RNA". It matches the Rfam family "Bacterial small subunit ribosomal RNA", at positions 338 to 682 of the family's 1533-position model. The record is from RNAcentral.